ACUCCCACUUCCCAUACUCCCACCCACUACAAUAUCCCCUACCCUACGGUCCCUCCCAUCCCCAAUCCAGAAUCUAGAAUCAAACAUUACAUGAGGGUACAGAGGAAUAGGAACAUUAGUAGAGCAUAUUUAAAGCAACAAUAACAAGAAAAUAAGUAUUGCAGUUAUCCUUGCUGGGAACCCAAAACAAUGUCUAUUGUCCUGUUGUAACAGGAUAAGAUUUCCCUCAUUCCCCUUUGUCAGGAUGUCCCAUUGCAACUUGUCAGUAUCUCUGAAGGGAACUUUAUUUCCUGUGCCAUUUAAACACCGCUGCUGCAGCUUGCAUACAGAGAACGUGGCAAACUCAGUCUUCUUCCUUGGGAGUCUUCAGUCCCACACAGCCCACACCACCACUUGGUUUACACCAUGUAGCUAGUGUAGGAUUGAGUGUGCACAAACACCCAGGAUAUUUCUAUCAUUUCACUGAGCAUGCUCACAAGGACAAAUCAGUGGCAAAUGUUGAAAAGCUGAAAGUCAUUAAGGUAUCAUCAAGUUCAGAUUCGAACCAUGGGGGGCCAAGAGGCACUGCUCAGGCACAUGUUGGAAUAGAAAAUAAACUUCACUAACUACCUUAUAAAGUCUAAGGGAUCAUUUAUUUUCUUUGUUUAUGGGUUAUUUUUAUUUUAUUUGCAUUAAAAUUUUUAUUUCAUUGAGUGUUUUUUUUAUACUAAACUUUCAUACUUGAGUUCCAAGUUACAGGUACAAAGGCCUUGACAAAAUAAUCUCUUGUCUAAUGCAAUAAAAAGGGUAUUCAGUUUCCCAACUGUUAAUGAAGGUUUUAUACCACUUUGAAUCAGUGUUUUGAGUGGGAAACCCUCUAGAGCAGCGUUCUUGUGGGCCAGCUAGAUCUGUAUCUCUCUCCUGGAUAUCUUCUAAGAUAGUUCUAUAAAAAUAGUUAAACCAAGGCAACUUUAUUUCUAGUAAGACGUAAUCUCUCUCUGUCUCUGUCUCUGUCUCUGUCUCUGUCUCUCUCUCUCUCUCUCUCUCUCACACACACACACACACACACACACACACAUUAGCUAGAUUCACUCCUGAUGAAAUACCUAGUAAAAUCUGUAAAUUGUAAAUGUUGUUACUACAUUUCAACUACCCUGGUUAACAUAAAUCUAUUUACAUAAAUCUAAAUGUGGGCACUUCCUUCAGAAUAUGUACCUAUUAUGUUAAGAAACUUACUUCAAGCUAAAAUCUAUACUUUUUCCUUGGUACCCACUUUGGGCAUCCUGAUAAGGCUAUUUCAACUUCAGCAUCAAGUUUUCCCUAGGAUACAAAAAGGCUCCUGUCCAAGCUGCAGAGCAACAACAGUUGAUCCAGUGCUUUGCAGUUUUCAGAGUAUAUCCCCAUUCACCUGCAUAUUUACAAAUAAAAUCUGCAAUCUUAACCAGACCCCUUGGUAGUCUUUAGUUUUUCAAUGUGGGGGAAUACAUUGACAACAAACACAUUGAAAAACACUGAAAGGUCUUACUUUGAGAAUCACAAAGUCAUCAUAACAUAUAAGAUAGUUAUAUUAUUGUUACAAAGGAAGGGAGUUUGAACUAGACACAGAAAACUCUCUGAACAAGAGUUAUCAGAAUAAACAACUUCAUCCCCACUCUCAAACUGUCCAGACUGGGUCCAUCUCCUUUCAUUUCUUACAUGGCCCCAAGGACAACAGUGUUCAUCAAUGAGGCUUUGCCUCAUAGUUUAGAAAUGUUGACAGCCUUCAGCAAUGGCAAAGUAGCAAGCAGAUGGUCCUCAUUUGUAAUUAUGGUUCCAGGUAGUCACUUGCUGAUAUUAAGGCAUGAACCUUUCCUGGAGCAAAGCUACCUAUUAAACCAGGUCAUGGAGAAGUGAACACCCAAGCUUAAAAAAAUUCCUCAAAAUGUAGGGAAAGGAAUUUUAGCCUUCUGUUGUCCUUCUUACAUUCUUUGUGCUAACAAGGGACUGAGCCCAAAAGUCUCAAUGUCUUGAUGAAUUCUCAGGUGUAAUAUAAAAUUACGAUUUUAUAUGUAAUGUUUAAAAUAAAAUGGCAUUUUAAAAAAAAGUCCUUUUCUGGCAUGAAUCAACAAGAUUUUUUUAUGUUAAGGGUUUCUUGAAGCUGUGUGUGUAUCAUUUUGUGUUUGUGUAUAUGUUUAUGUUCUUCUGUGUGUGUGUAAUUAUCUCUGCAUGAAUUGUUUAUGCUCAUGUGCAUUCAAGUUGCUACUCCUUUGAAGGUUUGUUUUUAAGAUUAAGUGGAUUUUCUUUACAAUAAUAAAUAUACAAUUGGUAUUGUUAUACCCAUUUGCUAGUAAGACACUGGCCAUGUUACAAUGCCAGAGAAGUGAGUGAUACACAUAUUUUAAUAAAUUAUGGUCAGCAUCUGCAACAAUGUACAAAAUAGUCAUCUAAUCACCCCAAGAAAUGAUGAUUGUUUUGAAAAAAUCACAGAGUUCAUUCAUUCAAACAGAUAAUUGACUGAAAUAAUGACUAAAAAUAAAAUUUAGAUUUGAAAUAUGCAUUAUGAAAAGACCUGGUUAUGUUUGUUUUAAAAUACAGUAAAUCUGUGUGUGCAUUUUUCUGUAUGUGUGUAAGUUUGUAUAUGUGGGGGGUGUUUAUGUGUGUUCACACAUGUGUGGAUGUGUGUGUGUGUUUGCAUAUUUGUGUGAGUAUGUAUGCAUGUGUGUGUGUGUUUGUGUGUGUGUGAGAGAUAGAUAGAUAGAUAGAUAGAUAGAGAGAGAGCAUACAAAGAUACCUUAACUACAGGAGGGGAGGGAAUUCUCAAUGAAAGAGGCCUUCAGCUCAACACCUAGGAGUGAAUCUACAUUACACAUAUACAAGUGAGUAACAUAUAAGAUUGAUUACUAGCAUCCCAGAUAUAUGUGUCAGGGGAUAAAUACCCCUAAUCCAACCUGUCCCAAUGAGGCAUGACAUUGGACCAGCUGCAUUUAGAUUUUACUCUCAUCAAAUCAUUUUUUAAAAUGUCCUGGGUUGGACCAAGAUACAGUUUGUUGGCAUUGGACAAAGGCUGGCAUAUGCAUUUGCAUGUGUGAAAGGGGAGAAUUUGGCAACUUCUCCCAUCCACCACUUUUGUAACUCUCUUUGUUCAAAUAUACAUUUCAAAAAUGGUGUCUUUCUGACAAGAAGGUGACUGCUAACACACUACCAGUAGGUAAUACACUUUAAACUGUUUCUCCAGAAGUGAAAAUGAAUUUUGCAAGGCUAUUCAAAGAACAGUUUUGUUAGGUCUUCCAGAUGGCUGAUAACCCAUGUUCAGAAAAAGGCUGGCCAGGGUGAGUGGUGCAGUCUGUGUAAACAGACACACAUGGGGUUUUGAACCUGUGUGCCCAUAGUUCUUUAGCACCACACUCAAACUCACAGAGCUAAAUGGCUGCACAUGGAUUAGAGCCUAAGACCUAGAGCUCAUUAGCACCAUGUUCCAACCAAAUUAGUGCCCCCAGCCAGAAACUACUUACAAUGGUAGCACCCUCAGACUUAAUUGGGUGCUGAGUUAAAAAUAGUUGCUGCUGAAAAAAAAUCUAAGCAAUACCCACAAAAAACUGAAACUACCAAGAGGCCCGCUUCUUCAACAUCUUGUGUAUCAGCAAAGCUGCUGGGUAGACAAACGUCUGUGAGUAUGAAGUGGAGGAAGCAGCAGACAUUGAAGCUGGAUCAUCUGUCAAGCAUGGAACAUUCCAGUUCUCCAGCCUUACUGGGGGGCGGGGAUGUGGUCUGAUUCUUUGGAGGACAAAGGUGAGAGUAGGGAGGGGGUUUUCCUGGGAAUGAGAGAACAUUAGGUGAACAUACUAUAGCACAAUAGUCAUUUAAAUUACAAUGAUAGCCCUUUUAUCUGAAUUUCUCUUAAUUCUAAGCAGGUAAAAGAGCAUAUCAGAGCAAGGUAUAAUUCCUCCAAGAAACACUGGGUACCUAGGGGCAAUUCCAUUCUGCCCUCUGCUUAUGGGGAGGCAAAGUACUAGACAGUCAUUCUGAUUGUCCUGCGAUGUAUCCAUCCUGCCAAAAGGAAAAUGAGAAGGACAGCUGUCUGUCAGUUAGUUCAAAAAAAUGAUAAGGGUUUACAUAAGGAGGGAGAAAAAGAUAUCAGCCGAGCUCACCAGUCACAAAGACUACAAUCUCAAAAACAGCUGAAGCUGAAAGGUGAUGAUAGGUGGAUGUGCAAUUUACAGUGGUGGCACCAGCAGAUGUUGUCAUCUAGUUAGUCCAGGACUUCUCUAAAUAUUUAGUCUUAUACUUGUAUGAAUAUAGUUUUUUUUUAACUUUUGGUGGUGAGUGUAGGAAGGGAGGGGAGAUAAAGGCUUCAUUCAUGAAAGUGAAAAUAGAAAGAAACAGAGCUUAAACUAUAGCUCUUUCUCCUCAAAUUCUUCUUGAUCUAAAAAAAGGGAUGCAAUACUCUAGCAAGUAUGGAAAAUUUCCAUAGAUACCUGGACUUCAAAAAAAAUCCACAUUUUGCUGUCACCAAGUGGGAUGAGACAAGCCAGAAGCUAAACUCCAGUUAAUCUGCUUUAUGCCUCUGGCUUGCCCUUUUCCUGAGGAAACGCAAGGAUGCAAAGGACUUUGAAAACAUCCUGUUAAAAAGAAAAUGAUUAAGAUAGGAGAAGCAAGAGAAAUUCAUUGAGGAGAAAUAGAUAGAAGCAGAAGCACACAUACACUCUCACAAGAUUAUGAUAACCUGUUUUUAAAACUGCUUAAAGCCAGUGGGGUACAGGAGUCACUAUGAAGUUCACAGCAAAUGCAGCAACAAAAGUAUGAAGCCAGUUAUCUGGGCCUGGGACUUUCAAGAGAAUCUCCAGAGUUAUACUGUGGUGAUAAAAGUCUGUUGUUGUUGUUGUUGCUGCUGUUGUUUUGAAGUUAUGUUGCUUCUGUGGGGGUAUGACUAUGAGAAAGGGAGAGGGAGGGGGAAAUGAGCAA
This is a long non-coding RNA of Hipposideros armiger (great roundleaf bat), 4920 nucleotides long. RefSeq lists it as uncharacterized. NCBI's taxonomy places the organism in Eukaryota, Metazoa, Chordata, Mammalia, Chiroptera, Hipposideridae. The transcript is spliced from 2 exons. The record is from RefSeq and is a predicted model, not a curated record.